RNAcentral lists this unclassified non-coding RNA (205 nucleotides) under Glomeraceae sp. RNAcentral's name for it is "partial contains 5.8S ribosomal RNA and internal transcribed spacer 2". The stretch from base 1 to 71 matches the Rfam family "5.8S ribosomal RNA", at positions 84 to 154 of the family's 154-position model. Lineage: Eukaryota; Fungi; Glomeromycota; Glomeromycetes; Glomerales; Glomeraceae. The record is from RNAcentral.
GUGAAUCAUCAAAUUUUUGAACGCAAAUUGCACUCUUUGGUAUUCCGGAGAGCAUGCCUGUUUGAGGGUCAGUUUAAAUAAAAAUCGGUGUGGUUGCUGCCUUUCGUGGUGACGCACCGGAUUUGGGUCGUCUUGCUUUCGGUCAAGUGAUGUAAACUUCCGCAUGAUUUUUUUUGAACGCAUCUAAAUGAUUUUACGUACGUUU